Long non-coding RNA from Triplophysa rosa, 2000 nucleotides. RefSeq lists it as uncharacterized. The transcript is spliced from 5 exons. The record is from RefSeq and is a predicted model, not a curated record. NCBI's taxonomy places the organism in Eukaryota, Metazoa, Chordata, Actinopteri, Cypriniformes, Nemacheilidae.
ACGAAGGUAAAAACAUGUUACUCAUCUGCAUGUUGCAUGUGUAUAUUUACAGUGUUUAUGGUUUGUACAUGUGUGUCUGUGGGGAUUUUUCUGUAGGCCACUGGAUUUGUAUAAUCUGCUGACGGAAGCCAUCGCAAAUGGAGGGUAUUUUCAUGACAUUCGACAAAAACAAGAAUCACACACUGGAGUACCAAGAAAUCACACAGGCUCUGACAGCAGCAGGCAUAAAGGUGGAUGAUUUCGUACCGCAGCUGAUCAGCCUGCGUUACACAGAGCCAGAUCUGACCAUCAAUUUCCCAGGAUUUCUCUUCCUGGGGCCCGUUUCAGAAAGGAGGUUUAGUGAAAACUCUGAGUAUAUUGACCCUGAAAUGAGGGUUUUCCGUUUCAGAAUGUGAGGUAUGUCAAACCCGAGAAAGCGGGGUAACUCAAGCACGUUUCUAAAGGAGAGGUAACUUAUACUCAGAGUCAGUAACCAUAGUAACUUACUCUAACCUAACCAGGUUUUCUUUGGUAAACCCAGAGUUUAUUUUGAUCUCAUCCCCCUUUUAAAGUGCAAGUGGUGUAACUCAUUCAUUCAUUCAUUAAUACAGUCAUUCAUGGCACACAUUUUGAUCACACAGAGACCAUCUCAGUGACUUAUAUGUCAUAUGCGCUUUUAUAGAGGAUUCAUGAAGAGGCUGCAUUAAUUCAUUGGGAUGUACCUUGAUUUCAGCAAUUUAGGACCCGAGUGGAAUUUUGUCAUUUCCCUUUGCAUUUUUAUUAAAACUGUACCGCUUUUCUUUACAGUGAAUUAGAUAUAUCAAAAUAUAUCUCAUCCAUCCUUACAUCAAUAACAUCAGCCACCGUACGUGUAUUACAUCAUUUUCUACAGACGAUGAGAAAUGACGUAAUAAGUGUGUAAAUAAAGUGCAUGAAUAAAGAAAUUAAUAAAUACAGACAUACAUGCAGACAUGAAGCGAUAAAGGUAAUAAACAAGUAAUUUAGACGUGCAGCCAUUAUAACUGAAAUCUGUUCAGAGCAGGGUUCGAACCGACGAUCAGUCUAAUUUUGCCCGAGAGUCUGAUGCCCUACAGGUGUCCUAUACACCAUGUCGUCUCAUUUGCGUAACUAGAGCAGUCAUGGCGAGUGAGAACAUACGAUUUUUUUUAUUAUUUCUGUUUCAUUCAUUUAAUGAUUAAGUUGUUUGUUUAUUGGUACAUUUAUCUAUUUAUUAAUUUAAACUUAAGUCAUUUUCAGGACAUCAGUAAAUCCACUGUAUGCAGAGCGUAAAGUGUGCCUCACUCUCAAGUGCUGUCUGCCGCCAUGUUGCUUUUUUUGGUGCCGUUGCCAUGGUGAAUCAUAAUAUCGGAGCUCCAUUGAUGAUGUCUUUUUAUAUUCGUGGUGCACAUGCUUAACCCAGGGUAAGCCUACCCAGAGUAAAUUGAACUAACUCAAAUCAGCUGUUCUGAAACCAAAAACUCAAAGUUUCUCAUUUCUAAGUAAACCAACUCUGAGUUCAAGGUUUAACCUAGGGUUGGUUUAACCUCCUUAUUGAUACGGGCCCCAGCUCCUCAAACUGGACUGCAUGAUCAGUAAUUUUCGGUCCUUUGAUAUCGUGGGGGUGGGAAUGAUUACAAUCAAAUGCCAUCAGUUCUUGACUAUGACCAUGUACAACUGAACUCAUACCAGCUGUGGGAUCUCGUGUGGAGCUACUGUUCACAACAUCUUCAUCUGUUCUUGUUCCAGCCCCCCGAAGAGUCCGACUAUUAACCUUAGUUUACAUGUCAGGGUCUACAGUAUAUCACACAGAAGAUGAAAGACACGUCAUGAAUGUGCUUCACUGAAUCAUUUUACUAUGAAAAUUAGGCGUCCUUAACAUUUCUCGUUUCUGCAUGUUGACAUCAGUUUUUAUUGCUUCAGAUUUAACCAAAUGUUUCUAAUUCAUGCCAUUUACACAAUUGUGAUUUAUUUCAUAACGUUUCCCUCCUCGUCUGUGCCGGUGGCCUGUUCUGAAUCCAUUU